UACAGAGGGUGCGAGCGUUAAUCGGAAUUACUGGGCGUAAAGCGCGCGUCGGCGGCUUUGCAAGUCGGGUGUGAAAUCCCCAGGCUUAACCUGGGAACUGCAUUCGAGACUGCAUUGCUAGAGUAUGGGAGAGGGAAGUGGAAUUUCCGGUGUAGCGGUGAAAUGCGCAGAUAUCGGGAGGAACACCAGUAGCGAAGGCGGCUCGCUGGGCCAUACCUGACGCUGAGACGCGAAAGCGUGGGGAGCAAACAGG
Molecule: ribosomal RNA, 253 nt
Filed under: uncultured bacterium
Lineage: Bacteria
Description: partial 16S ribosomal RNA
Rfam family: Bacterial small subunit ribosomal RNA
Source: RNAcentral